Molecule: long non-coding RNA, 2172 nt
Organism: Anolis carolinensis (green anole)
Lineage: Eukaryota; Metazoa; Chordata; Lepidosauria; Squamata; Anolidae
Source: Ensembl
GCGGCCGCUCUUGGUACAAAUAAGGAGCCCGCUCGGGACAGGAAGCAACCUCAAGGCCACCCCAAACGGCGUGACACGUAGGAAGAAAACCGGAGCCCUUCUUGAGUCCCACUUUUGGAGUCUCAGCAUCGCCAGGCGCUGGUUUAAGGAGACGCUGAAGUCUUUACUAAGAGUGCCAUCUAGUGGAGCAAAGGGGAAUUGCUCUGAAUUGCCAAAGGAGGUCAAUACAAUCAUAGCCUUGGAAGAGAACACAAGAGUCCAACCCAGGCAUGGGCAAACUUCGGCUCUCCGGGUGUUUUGGACUCCUGUGUUCUCUGUUAUGGUUAAAGGAGGCUGGGUCAAAGCUCUCUGCUGCCCCCAACAGGCUAUAUGGGAUAUUGUAGGGUACAAAAGGAAUGGGUUAGUUUGGGACCACAGCAUUUUAGCAGAGGCAUCUAACCCAGGUAUGGGCAAACUUUGGCCCUCCGGGUUUUUUGGACUCCAACUACCACAAUUCCUAACAGCCUUUAGGCUGUUAGGAAUUGUGGAAGUUGAAGUCCAAAAAACCUGGAGGGCCGAAGUUUGCCCAUGCCUGAUCUAACCCAUUGAAAUUGCACAUUCUAAUGUUCGACCCUUUGCAUGUCAUAUAAUUUGACAGAAAAGAAAAAAUACAGAAAAUGGAUAGUGUAGCAAUAUAUAUAUAUACACACUAUCUGUGCCCGGAGAAAUUGUUGAGGCAGUGGUGGUAUUGAAUGUCUGUUGUAUGGUUGUCUUUAUGUUUAGUAUGCACACUGAAGUGGAUUAUAUGGCAGUGUGGAGUCAAGAUAAUCCAGUUCAAAGCAGAUAAUAUAAGAUUCUAAAUGGGUUAUAUAGCUGUGUGGAAGGGCCUUGAGUCUACCCUGCCGUAUAAUCCAGUUCAAAUCUGAUAAUCUGUGGGGCCUAAGUGAGGCCUAACUGUGCCUGUCCCCUGGGCUGAGUAGGUUGCUAGGAGACCAAGUGGGCGGAGCUUAGUCUUCAAACUGGCAGCAAUUGGAUAAAAACUAUUAUUCCUCUCCCUGUAAUUAGGUCUUUAUUUUUCUUUUCUUUUUUGGUGUAUCAACCUAGAGCCGUGAAUGAUGGGUUGUGUUGUCAAAUUCUGAGUUUGGGGGGCCUGUAGUUUUGUUGUUUUGUCCGCUGCCCUGAUGCCAUCACUCUUUUAUAUAUAUAGAUAGAUAUAUAUUGGUCGCACCAUAAAUUACCAAAUGAGUUCUUAAAGUUUAUAAAGUAUGCUCGACUGCAUCCUUCUCCUUCGCCCAAAUAUUUGACAAUUCUCUCCUAAGUGCUGGACAUCAAGUGGCUGCUCAUAUUGCACAGUUAUAGCACUAUGAUUCCACUUUAAAAUCCAAAGCUGCAUCCUAUAGAAUCCUAGGAUUUGUAGUUUGGUGAGACACUAGAGGUCUCUGGCAGAGAAUUCUACUCACUGCAGACUAAUCCAACCAGAGAAGGCAGCCAUAGCAGAGCACUUGAUGAACCAACCUGGACACAGCAUAUUAUUUGAGAACACAGCAAUGCUGGACCAUUCUAACCACCACGUCAGACUACGCAGAGAAGCCAUUGAAAUCCACAAACAUGUGGACAAUUUUGACAGGAAGGAGGAAACCAUGAAAAUAAACAAAAUCUGGCUACUAGUGUUUUUAAAAACUCAAAAACCAGGACAGUAAAUAAAGAACAACACUCAGAAAACAGAGGAAGUCCAGGCAUGAAUCAAUCAGAGCCAGCUAACACUUCCCAACAAAGGAUUCCGCCAGGUAGUAAGAAGCCAGACCUUGAAGCUGAAGCCAGACCUUGAAGCCAGACCUUGAUUGUUCAAUACCAAUCAAGGUGGCCAAUUGAAACAUUCACACCUGCCCCAAACAGACAAGAAUUCUUUCUCCCACUCUGGACCUUCCACAGAUAUUCCCAUUUGACUAGUUUCCAACAUACCUCACAACCUCUGAGGAUGCCUACCAUAGGUGUGGGUGAAAUGUCAGUAGAGAAUGCUUCUGGAACUUGGCCAUACAGCCCGGAAAACUCACAGCAAUGCAAUUGUACUCACUGCUUCCAAAAAAUGCAAAGCCCUUACAUUCCAUAAGAUGUUGCCACAACAGAGUGGGAUAAUUGUGCUAUAGUUAUGUAGUGUGGAAGGGCCCAGAGGAUGGAUCUACACUGCCACAU